This 459-nucleotide ribosomal RNA is filed under the name uncultured bacterium. RNAcentral describes it as "partial 16S ribosomal RNA". It matches the Rfam family "Bacterial small subunit ribosomal RNA", at positions 338 to 795 of the family's 1533-position model. The record is from RNAcentral.
CCUACGGGAGGCUGCAGUGAGGAAUAUUGGUCAAUGGGCGCGAGCCUGAACCAGCCAAGUCGCGUGAGGGAAGACGGUCCUAUGGAUUGUAAACCUCUUUUGUCGGGGAGCAAAAGACGCCACGCGUGGCGUUCCGAGAGUACCCGAAGAAAAAGCAUCGGCUAAGUCCGUGCCAGCAGCCGCGGGAAUACGGAGGAUGCGAGCGUUAUCCGGAGUUAGUGGGUUUAAAGGGUGCUCAGGCGGAAGAUCAAGGCAGCGGUAAAAUUGAGAGGCUCAACCUCUUCGAGCCGUUGAAACUGGUUUUCUUGAGUGAGCGAGAAGUAUGCGGAAUGCGUGGUGUAGCGGUGAAAUGCAUAGAUAUCACGCAGAACUCCGAUUGCGAAGGCAGCAUACCGGCGCUCAACUGACGCUCAUGCACGAAAGUGUGGGUAUCGAACAGGAUUAGAUACCCCAGUAGUC